GAAAGAUCUUCUCUGAUCGGGGCAACAAUGGUCAACGUUUUGCAAGCGCGGGAUUUGUGACACAAAGUAUGGAAAUGACCUGGCUCUCAUGAAACUCCUUAAAUUUGCAGGAGAUUAAAACACACAGGUGUUCAAAUCCAACAAUAGCGACUCGUCUCUUUUGAGCUGAGAAUGGGAGAAGUCAAGGUCAUGUUUUCAUACGAUGUGUUACAAAUCGUUAGAAGCCGGCUGGAGCCAGAAGAUCUGGACUGUAUCCAAUUGAUGACAGCACCACCAGAGGAUGGGAUGGAAUUGAAUAAAUAAGACAGUUUUUGCACUUCAGAUGAAUGGGGGAAUCUUUGUCUGAUGAUUAGGUGAAAGAUAGUCCUUUGUUGUAUCUGAUCCGUGUACACAUAAUUGUAGAUUGCAAUAUCAUUCUUCACUAAAAGCUUGUUAUUAACUUUAACUGGACAAAUCCUGAGUCUUAUUUCUCUGAUCUACCAGUAAACGAACACUAUUCAGAGUGUAGUGACCAUAGAAUUGGAGUCAGAUUAAGUCUGCCCUUUUUAGGGCCAGACCGGUCAUCGGUCACAUUUUAGA
Molecule: long non-coding RNA, 579 nt
Organism: Sander lucioperca (pikeperch)
Lineage: Eukaryota; Metazoa; Chordata; Actinopteri; Perciformes; Percidae
Exons: 2
Source: RefSeq, a predicted model, not a curated record